This 117-nucleotide small nuclear RNA is filed under the name Phascolarctos cinereus (koala). RNAcentral describes it as "U5 spliceosomal RNA (ENSPCIG00000035447.1)". It matches the Rfam family "U5 spliceosomal RNA". Rfam says of the family: U5 RNA is a component of both types of known spliceosome. The precise function of this molecule is unknown, though it is known that the 5' loop is required for splice site selection and p220 binding, and that both the 3' stem-loop and the Sm site are important for Sm protein binding and cap methylation. Lineage: Eukaryota; Metazoa; Chordata; Mammalia; Diprotodontia; Phascolarctidae. The record is from Rfam by way of RNAcentral.
AUACUCUAGUUUCUCUUCAGAUUGUUCAAAUCUUUCACCUUUUACUAAAGACUUCAUGGAGAGGAAUAAUUAUGAGUUGUUAACUAAUUUUUUGUUAGCCCUCCUAAGAUAGGGCUU